This is a long non-coding RNA of Gallus gallus (chicken), 799 nucleotides long. The record is from Ensembl. NCBI's taxonomy places the organism in Eukaryota, Metazoa, Chordata, Aves, Galliformes, Phasianidae.
CCAGCCUGACCCUGCGGGGCGGGGACAGGAUUUAUCACGUCGGGAAGAGGAACAGGGAGCUGUGUCCUGGCACGGCCCCGCAGAUAACAGCGCUGGUCAUGGCCAGGGUCAGCCACAUGGUUUCCAGGAUUCAAGCAGUGGAACCAACCCUUGUCCCAGACAUAGCGGGAAACCCUUCACCUACCCAAAUUCGUAGUUUAUUCCCUACAAAAUUAAUCCUUCCCCUUUCUUCUCCCGAACCCCUUCACAGCCCAUCAGCUUGGGGUGGGCACACAGAACCUGCCCAGAAGCUGCUUGUUGUGGCUGGCGGGGUGGGGAGCAGUGUGACUGGUGCUGUGCUCUCCCCAGGUGCUGAGGAGCCACGUCAUGGUGCGUGUCGGCGGUGGCUGGGACACACUGGAACAUUACCUGGACAAGCACGACCCGUGCCGCUGCUCCUCCCUGUCUCACCGCCUGCCCCCCGCCCGCACCCUGACCUUCUCCCCACCAAAACCCGCCGUCAACAGUGCCAGCCCCGCACCCCACGCCCCCAGCCCCAGCACCCCGCGCCGUGCCGACACGACCAGCCUCGGGGACAAGCGGCUGCCAGGCUGGGGGGACGUUGGCUACAGCAGGACGGAGCGGGGCAGCACCCCAAAGCCUGCGCCUGGAGCCGUCCUGCCCCCCCGGGCCCCCGCCAGCCCAUCCAGGAGCCCCGCCAGUGCACUCAGGCCCCGCGACUCCACCCGCACCCGCCGCCAUUCCGGGGACAGCGACUCCUCGUCGGCCUCAUCGGUGGGACCCCCGCGGGGCCACCGCC